RNAcentral lists this ribosomal RNA (497 nucleotides) under uncultured bacterium. RNAcentral's name for it is "partial 16S ribosomal RNA". It matches the Rfam family "Bacterial small subunit ribosomal RNA", at positions 28 to 507 of the family's 1533-position model. The record is from RNAcentral.
GAUGAACGCUGGCGGCGUGCCUAAUACAUGCAAGUCGAGCGAACAGAUGAGGAGCUUGCUCCUCUGACGUUAGCGGCGGACGGGUGAGUAACACGUGGAUAACCUACCUAUAAGACUGGGAUAACUUCGGGAAACCGGAGAUAAUACCGGAUAAUAUAUUGAACCGCAGGGUUCAAUAGUGAAAGACGGUUUUGCGGUAACUUAUAGAUGGAUCCGCGCCGCAUUAGCUAGUUGGUAAGGUAACGGCUUACCAAGGCAACGAUGCGUAGCCGACCUGAGAGGGUGAUCGGCCACACUGGAACUGAGACACGGUCCAGACUCCUACGGGAGGCAGCAGUAGGGAAUCUUCCGCAAUGGGCGAAAGCUUGACGGAGCAACGCCGCGUGAGUGAUGAAGGUCUUCGGAUCGUAAAACUCUGUUAUUAGGGAAGAACAAAUGUGUAAGUAACUAUGCACGUCUUGACGGUACCUAAUCAGAAAGCCCCGGCUAACUACGUG